This 440-nucleotide ribosomal RNA is filed under the name uncultured Rhodoferax sp. Its description in RNAcentral is "bacterial SSU rRNA". It matches the Rfam family "Bacterial small subunit ribosomal RNA", at positions 358 to 790 of the family's 1533-position model. The record is from RNAcentral. Lineage: Bacteria; Pseudomonadati; Pseudomonadota; Betaproteobacteria; Burkholderiales; Comamonadaceae.
GGAAUUUUGGACAAUGGGCGCAAGCCUGAUCCAGCAAUGCCGCGUGCAGGAUGAAGGCCUUCGGGUUGUAAACUGCUUUUGUACGGAACGAAACGGUCUGCCCUAAUACGGUGGGCUAAUGACGGUACCGUAAGAAUAAGCACCGGCUAACUACGUGCCAGCAGCCGCGGUAAUACGUAGGGUGCGAGCGUUAAUCGGAAUUACUGGGCGUAAAGCGUGCGCAGGCGGUUAUAUAAGACAGAUGUGAAAUCCCCGGGCUCAACCUGGGAACUGCAUUUGUGACUGUAUAGCUAGAGUACGGUAGAGGGGGAUGGAAUUCCGCGUGUAGCAGUGAAAUGCGUAGAUAUGCGGAGGAACACCGAUGGCGAAGGCAAUCCCCUGGACCUGUACUGACGCUCAUGCACGAAAGCGUGGGGAGCAAACAGGAUUAGAUACCCUUG